Lepus europaeus (European hare) is the source of this 119-nucleotide small nucleolar RNA. RefSeq annotates it as small nucleolar RNA SNORA17. The transcript has a single exon. Lineage: Eukaryota; Metazoa; Chordata; Mammalia; Lagomorpha; Leporidae. The record is from RefSeq and is a predicted model, not a curated record.
CGUGGCCCUGCAGGCGUCACAGGUGGACUGUGCUCCACAUGUGGGCCUGCAGGUGUCACAGGUGGACUGUGUCCUACAUGUGGACCUGCAGGUGUCACAGGUGGACUGUGUCCUACAUG